RNAcentral lists this ribosomal RNA (755 nucleotides) under uncultured Actinomycetes bacterium. RNAcentral describes it as "bacterial SSU rRNA". It matches the Rfam family "Bacterial small subunit ribosomal RNA", at positions 691 to 1448 of the family's 1533-position model. The record is from RNAcentral. Lineage: Bacteria; Bacillati; Actinomycetota; Actinomycetes.
CAGAUAUCAGGAGGAACACCGAUGGCGAAGGCAGGUCUCUGGCCCAAUACUGACACUGAGGAGCGAAAGCGUGGGGAGCGAACAGGAUUAGAUACCCUGGUAGUCCACGCCGUAAACGGUGGGCGCUAGUUGUGCGAACCUUCCACGGUUUGUGCGACGCAGCUAACGCAUUAAGCGCCCCGCCUGGGGAGUACGAUCGCAAGAUUAAAACUCAAAGGAAUUGACGGGGCCCCGCACAAGCAGCGGAGCAUGCGGCUUAAUUCGACGCAACGCGAAGAACCUUACCAAGGCUUGACAUAUACAGGAAUAUGGCAGAGAUGUCAUAGCCGCAAGGUCUGUAUACAGGUGGUGCAUGGUUGUCGUCAGCUCGUGUCGUGAGAUGUUGGGUUAAGUCCCGCAACGAGCGCAACCCUCGUUCUGUGUUGCCAGCAUUUAGUUGGGGACUCACAGGAGACUGCCGGGGUUAACUCGGAGGAAGGUGGGGAUGACGUCAAAUCAUCAUGCCCCUUAUGUCUUGGGCUGCACGCAUGCUACAAUGGCUGGUACAAACGGCUGCAAUACCGCAAGGUGGAGCGAAUCCGAGAAAGCCAGUCUCAGUUCGGAUUGGGGUCUGCAACUCGACCCCAUGAAGUCGGAGUUGCUAGUAAUCGUAGAUCAGCAACGCUACGGUGAAUACGUUCCCGGGGCUUGUACACACCGCCCGUCACAUCACGAAAGUCGGUAACACCCAAAGUCAGUGGCCCAACCGCAAGGAG